Long non-coding RNA from Lolium rigidum, 1676 nucleotides. RefSeq lists it as uncharacterized. The transcript has 7 exons. NCBI's taxonomy places the organism in Eukaryota, Viridiplantae, Streptophyta, Magnoliopsida, Poales, Poaceae. The record is from RefSeq and is a predicted model, not a curated record.
UGAGGUGUGCAAGAUAAUUAAAAAUUCUAAUUUAUCUUACACUAGAAAAACAAGAUACAUAGAUAUUAAACUUUUUAGUCUUUUUAUCCUGCAGACCAGUAGCUUAUAAAGAAAUGCACUCAGGAAAACAAAGUAUGGUGGCGGCUCACAGGAUAUGAGUAUAUGCAUUGGGGUCCUAGAAGUGGAAAAGGCAGAAUAAAAAAGAAGUCUAUGCUAUGAUGACCAAAUAGAAGGUUUAUUGAUGAUGUCAUGAUAAAAUAGAAGGUUUCUUGAUGAUGUGAUGAUAAAUCACAAGUCUCCGCUGUAAUGAUAAAAUAGAAGUCUCCACAGGUAAAAAGAGUCAUGUGACUGUUGAUUGCAAAGUCAUGUGUUUCCAGAAGAACUCCUCUAGCAGAUACUUAAAUCGAUGGUACAUCUAGAUACAGACACUCGUGUGGGGCGCAUAACAUAUUUUAUGCUAUUAUUGUCUGAGGUCCAAUCCAUCAAAGGGGUGAUUCAGAGUUUGUAUAUGAAACAAAAAAUGUGGCAGUCUCAAGCUACAUCAGUAUUUGCGUGAGCUACCUCUCUUACUUGCUAAGUUAAGGAGAGAGAACGAAUGUUUAUGUUCAGAUAAGCCUGGAAAUAUGAUGCACGAUGACGGAAAAGAAAGAAACAUGCACGAAGAGGAUAAUAAACAUGUUUGGGCCCGGAAAAGUCCGGCAUAUUUUUCAAAGUGUCUUCUUCUUUCUUGAUCGAUGGGGAACACUAGCUAAUUUUGCAGAGGAAACCAAGAUCAUCCUUUCUGACUGAAGAUCAAAGAAAUCAAUUGGUGUCUGCAUUCAGGAUACAAACCACUCAGACUGAUAACAGUCUGUUCAAUUAUGAGGCAAUUGGUCAUUCAUACAACCCUCACCGUUCUUUCUUCCCGCCUUAAGAAUUCAAGCAACAGUAAUAACAUUCAGUUUUUCCAGUUGCCUCUAUACCUCUGAAGCAUUGCUUUAACCCCACAUGGUAGGAUCUGCAUAAUGAAAUUUAUUAUUCUCUUUCCUUCAUACACGUUAGUCCUUUAACAUACUCUGUUGCAGACUGGUGGGCCUCUGUAUUCUAUUGUUGACAUUCUCCUGCUUAUUUCUUUUAGGUUACAACACAACAUGUCGAGCCAAGAAAUACAUGUUAUUUGUUCUUGCUCGCGCACAUUUUUUACAUGUUGAUAUUUAGGCCUAACCUAACAAAAACUCUGUUACGCAUUCAGCUACAAUGAUGGUUUCGACCAUUUCAUAGGUUCCAUGUUGCAUGAGUCGAGGAUCAGAUACCACAGUUGUUUUGUCCGCAGCUCCCGAAGAUGAGCCAACACGAGGUCAAACCUUGGUGAGAGAUUUUAUGAUGCGGUGAACUUGUGUGGUUCGCCAAUAUCAGUCGCACCAUUUACAAGAGUCAUUGAUGUUGAGUUUCUUGCGUGUCCCCAGUGUCCAUUUAGUCACUAAUAGAAACAACAUUGAAGAUGUCUCCAUUUUUCCUCUUUAUUUUUUGACUGUUUUUACUCGAGAUGGAAAAGAGCUGUAAGAUUUUGCAUUGUAGUGUGAUUAAGAUUACAUUGCAGAAAUUUAGUUUGCCAAGUGUUCGUUUUACCUUUGUACGGCUAUGUUUUGUGACCUAGAGAUAUGAUCAAUCGGGAGUUUCUCCAUUGUAUUCAGAGU